GAUGAACGCUGGCGGCGUGCCUAAUACAUGCAAGUCGAGCGAACGGACGAGAAGCUUGCUUCUCUGAUGUUAGCGGCGGACGGGUGAGUAACACGUGGAUAACCUACCUAUAAGACUGGGAUAACUUCGGGAAACCGUAGCUAAUACCGGAUAAUAUUUUGAACCGCAUGGUUCAAAAGUGAAAGACGGUCUUGCUGUCACUUAUAGAUGGAUCCGCGCUGCAUUAGCUAGUUGGUAAGGUAACGGCUUACCAAGGCAACGAUGCGUAGCCGACCUGAGAGGGUGAUCGGCCACACUGGAACUGAGACACGGUCCAGACUCCUACGGGAGGCAGCAGUAGGGAAUCUUCCGCAAUGGGCGAAAGCCUGACGGAGCAACGACGCGUGAGUGAUGAAGGUCUUCGGAUCGUAAAACUCUGUUAUUAGGGAAGAACAUAUGUGUAAGUAACUGUGCACAUCUUGACGGUACCUAAUCAGAAAGCCACGGCUAACUACGUG
This 497-nucleotide ribosomal RNA is filed under the name uncultured bacterium. RNAcentral describes it as "partial 16S ribosomal RNA". It matches the Rfam family "Bacterial small subunit ribosomal RNA", at positions 28 to 507 of the family's 1533-position model. The record is from RNAcentral.